GUGGAUAACUUGCUGCUGGUUGAUCGCACUAUGACUCUGGAAGAAGUCCGCGGCCAGGACACAGUUCCGGAAAGCACAGCCAGGUGGGUUUCAGGGCGCUGAGAAAGCCGCUGGUCGGUCGGCGACCGUCAGGGUUCUCCAGGGUGGGAAUCAGCGGGGUAGGAGCAGAGCGCGGGGGUGCGGGCGCCAGAUCCGGGUUGGAGAGCCGGGGUGCAGGCGCUGAGCCGGGAUUGGAGUGUGGUUGGAGUUGGGGAGCCAAGGGUGCGUGCGGGUGGCCGGGGCUGGGGGCUCCGCUGCGCCCGCUGGCCGACUCCCGCUCAUUGCGCUGGCUCCUCCGCAGGAUGCAGGGUGCCGGGAAAGCGCUGCACGAGUUGCUGCUGUCCGCGCAGCGUCAGGGCUGCCUCACUGCCGGCGUCUACGAGUCAGCCAAAGUCCUGAACGUGCUUUCUGCUGCGAGAACGACAUCGACAUAGUGCGCGUGGGCGAUGUGCAGCGGCUGGCGGCUAUCGUGGGCGCCGGCGAGGAGGCGGGUGCGCCGGGCGACCUGCACUGCAUCCUCAUUUCGAACCCCAACGAGGACGCCUGGAAGGAUCCCGCCUUGGAGAAGCUCAGCCUGUUUUGCGAGGAGAGCCGCAGCGUUAACGACUGGGUGCCCAGCAUCACCCUCCCCGAGUGACAACCCGGCGGGGACCUUG
This 695-nucleotide small RNA is filed under the name Pongo abelii (Sumatran orangutan). RNAcentral describes it as "processed transcript". The record is from RNAcentral. Lineage: Eukaryota; Metazoa; Chordata; Mammalia; Primates; Hominidae.